Molecule: ribosomal RNA, 301 nt
Filed under: uncultured bacterium
Lineage: Bacteria
Description: partial 16S ribosomal RNA
Rfam family: Bacterial small subunit ribosomal RNA
Source: RNAcentral
CAGUCGCCGGCGGUAAUACGGAGGGCGCGAGCGUUACCCGGAUUUACUGGGCGUAAAGGGCGUGUAGGCGGCCUGGGGCGUCCCAUGUGAAAGGCCACGGCUCAACCGUGGAGGAGCGUGGGAUACGCUCAGGCUAGAGGGUGGGAGAGGGUGGUGGAAUUCCCGGAGUAGCGGUGAAAUGCGCAGAUACCGGGAGGAACGCCGAUGGCGAAGGCAGCCACCUGGUCCACUUCUGACGCUGAGGCGCGAAAGCGUGGGGAGCAAACCGGAUUAGAGACCCCUGUAGUCCCUGUCUCUUAUA